RNAcentral lists this ribosomal RNA (914 nucleotides) under Shigella boydii. Its description in RNAcentral is "partial 23S ribosomal RNA". It matches the Rfam family "Bacterial large subunit ribosomal RNA", at positions 1 to 947 of the family's 2925-position model. Lineage: Bacteria; Pseudomonadati; Pseudomonadota; Gammaproteobacteria; Enterobacterales; Enterobacteriaceae. The record is from RNAcentral.
GGGUUGUGAGGUUAAGCGACUAAGCGUACACGGUGGAUGCCCUGGCAGUCAGAGGCGAUGAAGGACGUGCUAAUCUGCGAUAAGCGUCGGUAAGGUGAUAUGAACCGUUAUAACCGGCGAUUUCCGAAUGGGGAAACCCAGUGUGAUUCGUUACACUAUCAUUAACUGAAUCCAUAGGUUAAUGAGGCGAACCGGGGGAACUGAAACAUCUAAGUACCCCGAGGAAAAGAAAUCAACCGAGAUUCCCCCAGUAGCGGCGAGCGAACGGGGAGCAGCCCAGAGCCUGAAUCAGUGUGUGUGUUAGUGGAAGCGUCUGGAAAGGCGUGCGAUACAGGGUGACAGCCCCGUACACAAAAAUGCACAUAUUGUGAGCUCGAUGAGUAGGGCGGGACACGUGGUAUCCUGUCUGAAUAUGGGGGGACCAUCCUCCAAGGCUAAAUACUCCUGACUGACCGAUAGUGAACCAGUACCGUGAGGGAAAGGCGAAAAGAACCCCGGCGAGGGGAGUGAAAAAGAACCUGAAACCGUGUACGUACAAGCAGUGGGAGCACGCUUAGGCGUGUGACUGCGUACCUUUUGUAUAAUGGGUCAGCGACUUAUAUUCUGUAGCAAGGUUAACCGAAUAGGGGAGCCGAAGGGAAACCGAGUCUUAACUGGGCGUUAAGUUGCAGGGUAUAGACCCGAAACCCGGUGAUCUAGCCAUGGGCAGGUUGAAGGUUGGGUAACACUAACUGGAGGACCGAACCGACUAAUGUUGAAAAAUUAGCGGAUGACUUGUGGCUGGGGGUGAAAGGCCAAUCAAACCGGGAGAUAGCUGGUUCUCCCCGAAAGCUAUUUAGGUAGCGCCUCGUGAAUUCAUCUCCGGGGGUAGAGCACUGUUUCGGCAAGGGGGUCAUCCCGACUUACCAACCCGA